CAUGAGAUCCGAUGGUUUUAAAAGGAGCUCUUCCCUCUUCGCUCAGCAUUCUCCUUCCUGUUGCCUUGUGAAGAAGGUGCCUUGCUUCCCCUUUGCCUUCCACCAUGAUUGUAAGUUUCGUGAGGCCUCCCAAGCCAUGCUGAACUGUGGGAGAAAAUAGGAUUGUCAGUUACUGUACCUCCUCUUCAUACUUGAGGGUAUCCCCUGAUCCUGCACAAAGAAAUGUCUCUUUGCCUUGAUGUUUCAACCCAAGGAGAGCAGGUUGGACCAUGUGAUCCCCCUGGCCCAACACAGCAGAAGUGAAAAUGUGUAGUAGUCUGUACCAUUCUCAUGGUAAUGUGAAAAUUUUCAAAAUUCAAACAGGGAUGCAGAAAAUGGGAGAAUAGAGUCUGAUCUCGACCAUCAGAGUAUAAGCCCAGACAUUCCAGUUAUAGUGUGAUGAAAAGAUGAUGAUUUUACAACUGGAGUUUUUUUUAAUGCUACAAUUAAACUAGUCUCAUUUAAAAAUAACAAAUAUAGUGACCCACUUCUGAUAAGACAUUUUCAUCUGGAGGUUAACAGCACCCCCUGACCCCACGGUGCCUCCAUGGCUGAGAAGUGCUUUUCCUUAACGUCUCCACUCUUGGGUCUUUGUCAACAAUCACAAGUGGCAAAUAAGAUUUAAAGACAUGCACCAACAAUUAUGAUUAUGGAAAGUUAUUAAUGAUAUUAAUAAUUCACACUCUUACUCAUUUCUAAUGAUGAUAUAAAUAUUACAAGAUGAAUAAAAAUGGAAUUCAAAAUUACACACACAUACACAGACAUUAAAAGGAGCUGGAAAGAAAUAUACCAACCUCUUGGUAUGUACUUGAUUGACAAUAUUAUGGUAAUUCUGAAGUUUUGUUUUAUACAAUCGUUUUGUGUUUUCUAAUUUUUCUACAAUGCUACUUUUUAAUUAGGGAAAAAAGAGUUUGUUUGUUUGUUUGUUUGUUUUAAAAAAAAGGCUGUUGCUAAGACUGAUUUUGCUGGUGGCCUAACAUGAGAUUUCUAAGGAGACUCCUUAGAAAGAGAUGAUGUUUACUCAAGUGAAUCUAUUCAAGGGUGUCUGCUUGUAAUGAAAUCAACUGUCUUUUUUGCCAUUGCUUAAAUUACACUAUGUAUGUUGAUAAUAUUAUAACUAAUAAGUAAAUAAAAGCAGACUUCACUGCAAAAAAAAGACAUUUUCAUCUGGAAAAGAUAGUAUGAUAUGGUAUACA
Molecule: long non-coding RNA, 1235 nt
Filed under: Homo sapiens (human)
Lineage: Eukaryota; Metazoa; Chordata; Mammalia; Primates; Hominidae
Description: HSALNT0084688
Source: RNAcentral